CAGAGUCCAAGUAGGAAAAAGAAAAUCUGCAUAUUUGAAACAUGGGAAAUUUAUGAAGGGAUUAUUCGAACAGGAAAUGGAAAAGUUGAUACUCCAGUACAGCAUGGGGAGACAGCCCUGAGAUUGGAAGCUGUAGGAGGGCACCAGCAGCCUGGGGCUGGGAGAAAAAGGGAAGAGGAGGUGUUAUCAGAGCCCAAGGGCUGUGGUCAGCUGUAGAAACUGGAAUCAUGGAAGACCUAUUUGGAGGAAGCUGGAGCCAUUGAGGAGACUCAGCUGCUCUGAGAAAAACCAUCAAGCCAGAGGAGGAGGGUAAACGCCUUGCCUUAUCUCUCUCCUCCUGCCCUUUACUUUCUUUCCAAAGUCUUCCACUGGCCAAAAUAGCUGGAAGCCAGCUGUCACAGGAGACUGGAAAAGGCAGCCUGCAAGCAUGUCUCCCUCCCUCACCCCUACUCCAAGCUAUGGAACAGAGCAGGUUGUACUCGUUUUGCUAGUGAUCCUAUGAUCACAUCUUCAGCAAAAUAUGACACGGCAUUUGGAACUAAAACAGUGAGCGUCCAGGAAAUAUUGGACAUCUACAAACUGAAGAUCACUUUCCUUAAACUUUAUGAGAGUUUGGAUUAUUCAACGUUAUCAUAAAAUCAGCUAUUAAUAAGACGCACAAGGUUCCAGAAGCUUUUUUUUUUUUUUGUUAGGGGAAAGUGAAGAACAAUACUGAGCAAUUUAUUUUGGCAUCAACCCUGAUUGCAACUGUAAUAUAUGGUGCAUUUCCAUGAGUGCUCUGUGACUGUUGCAAUGAAUUAUCAAACCCAAUAGAGAAACAGAGCUAUGGUCGGAACGGCUGGUGUCAGAAAUGGUAGAGAAGUAAA
This is a long non-coding RNA of Trichechus manatus latirostris (Florida manatee), 866 nucleotides long. RefSeq lists it as uncharacterized. The transcript is spliced from 4 exons. Lineage: Eukaryota; Metazoa; Chordata; Mammalia; Sirenia; Trichechidae. The record is from RefSeq and is a predicted model, not a curated record.